GGAAGAGACGCAUCCCUUCCCCUCUUGGACGACAAGUCUCAUCUUGCCCUGUCGAGCUUACUUGGAGUCACCGCUGAAGACUGAAGGUGGCCAGGGCCCCCAGCCCCAUCGCCCAUCACCAUCUCAGAGCCCAGGGUAAUGCUACUAGAGGCAGGGAAUACUGGGUAUCUCCCACCAAAGCCCAACUAUCCACCCAACAGUCACUUACUUGGAAACUCAGCUCUCCCCCACCCAGAGGACCAUCAGAGCAGAUUGAACCGCUCUCAUUAGAGAUCUCACCCCUCCUAACACAAAAGGCCUGUGAGUUCCUGCGGAAGAGUCACAAGCCUCCACCAACCUCACGGCUGGUGACAAGGACCUGCUAUUUUCUGUAAGAGAUGGUGUUGGUGAUAAAUGGCAGAUCAGUACUGUAGAUCUGUGUUUCCUACGCUGAGUGAGGCUGCACCCCUGACAGGCCCUGAUUGUGCAGCCUUCCAAGGUGACUUUGAAGCAACACACCACCCUCUCAGAGCAGCCCAGAAUGGAGGCCCUGGUGAAGAAUUCCCCUAGGGAAUUGAUAAAGGGACCGUUUUUUAGGAAGUUUCAGAGCAAAGGGUGACUUCCUAUUAGGAACCCUAUAAUUGGGGGAAGAGGUUUCUUUGAUCUUCAAUAGGGAAUCAAAAAUCUCCCCCUCUGACUAGAAAAUGACAGUGAUUAAAAAACCAAUAAAAAUAAAGUUUCUUUUCACCACUAUUAAAAAGAAAUUCUUAGUGAUCCUUGCCUGUGUGUUCUUCUAAAUAUACCUUAAGAUCAUUUUGUAAAGUU
Hipposideros armiger (great roundleaf bat) is the source of this 804-nucleotide long non-coding RNA. RefSeq lists it as uncharacterized. Lineage: Eukaryota; Metazoa; Chordata; Mammalia; Chiroptera; Hipposideridae. The transcript has 3 exons. The record is from RefSeq and is a predicted model, not a curated record.